AAAAAAAAAAUAGACUAAAAUUUCAUGCAUCUGCUGGAACCAAUAGUUCCUUCAAAGACUCUCAGGUAACCCUUCAUUCAACAUGAACCUCUAAUAGCAAAUUUUAAUAAAUUAAAACAUGAAUACAGGUGUUUCUUUUGAUUGUUGUGACUUUGCAGUCUCAACUAAACUCAAUAAUAUGCAUGUGUUAUUCUAACUUGGAACAAAUUGGACUGGUAUCAGUGGGAUAAA
RNAcentral lists this unclassified non-coding RNA (231 nucleotides) under Hevea brasiliensis (rubber tree). Lineage: Eukaryota; Viridiplantae; Streptophyta; Magnoliopsida; Malpighiales; Euphorbiaceae. The record is from RNAcentral.